GACCCUGGCUCAGGACGAACGCUGGCGGCGCGCCUAACACAUGCAAGUCGAACGAGCGAGAGAGAGCUUGCUUUCUCGAGCGAGUGGCGAACGGGUGAGUAACGCGUGAGGAACCUGCCUCAAAGAGGGGGACAACAGUUGGAAACGACUGCUAAUACCGCAUAAGCCCACGGCUCGGCAUCGAGCAGAGGGAAAAGGAGUGAUCCGCUUUGAGAUGGCCUCGCGUCCGAUUAG
RNAcentral lists this ribosomal RNA (234 nucleotides) under uncultured bacterium. RNAcentral's name for it is "partial 16S ribosomal RNA". It matches the Rfam family "Bacterial small subunit ribosomal RNA", at positions 15 to 244 of the family's 1533-position model. The record is from RNAcentral.